Non-coding RNA from Salmo salar (Atlantic salmon), 56 nucleotides. The record is from Rfam. Lineage: Eukaryota; Metazoa; Chordata; Actinopteri; Salmoniformes; Salmonidae.
UGUAUGCACGAAUGACGAAGUUGCUUUGGAUAAAAGCAUCUGCUAAAUGGCAUAUA